Molecule: ribosomal RNA, 465 nt
Filed under: uncultured bacterium
Lineage: Bacteria
Description: partial 16S ribosomal RNA
Rfam family: Bacterial small subunit ribosomal RNA
Source: RNAcentral
GACGAACGCUGGCGGCGUGCUUAACACAUGCAAGUCGAACGGAAAGGCCCUGCUUGCAGGGUACUCGAGUGGCGAACGGGUGAGUAACACGUGGGUGAUCUGCCCUGCACUUCGGGAUAAGCCUGGGAAACUGGGUCUAAUACCGGAUAGGAGCCAUUUUUAGUGUGAUGGUUGGAAAGUUUUUUCGGUGUAGGAUGAGCUCGCGGCCUAUCAGCUUGUUGGUGGGGUAAUGGCCUACCAAGGCGGCGACGGGUAGCCGGCCUGAGAGGGUGGACGGCAACAUUGGGACUGGGAUACGGCCCAGACUCCUACGGGAGGCAGCAGUGGGGAAUAUUGCACAAUGGGCGCAAGCCUGAUGCAGCGACGCCGCGUGGGGGAGGACGGCCUUCGGGUUGUAAACUCCUUUCGCUAGGGACGAAGCUUUUUGUGACGGUACCUAGAUAAGAAGCACCGGCUAACUACGUG